AAUAGGAAAUAAAUGUGUCCGCCUUUAUAACAGGAAGUAAAGAAGAAUGAUGUAAUUUGCAGAAAAGACUUAUGGAGCCCAAAGAAGAUAACUAUGAAAUAUUAUACAGUCGUGAAGAGAACUUCAAUCGAAAGACAUACCAAAGAGAAGAUAUACAUGAACUUUUGUACAGUCGCGUGUCUGUUAAAACCGACAGCUGUCAUAAUGUGAUCCCGUCUACAUUGAAUGUGGACAAUGCUACCCAAUCGAGUAGAUGUGUGUGCGAGGUCGAUUGGUAUGA
Molecule: long non-coding RNA, 280 nt
Organism: Mytilus californianus (California mussel)
Lineage: Eukaryota; Metazoa; Mollusca; Bivalvia; Mytilida; Mytilidae
Exons: 3
Source: RefSeq, a predicted model, not a curated record